This 209-nucleotide ribosomal RNA is filed under the name uncultured bacterium. RNAcentral describes it as "partial 16S ribosomal RNA". It matches the Rfam family "Bacterial small subunit ribosomal RNA", at positions 568 to 774 of the family's 1533-position model. The record is from RNAcentral.
UGCGUAGGCGGUAAAUCAAGUUGGCAGCGUAAUUCCGGGGGCUUAAACCGCGGAACUACUGCCAAAACUGGUGAACUAGAGUGUGUCAGGGGUAAGUGGAAUUCCUAGUGUAGCGGUGGAAUGCGUAGAUAUUAGGAGGAACACCGGAGGCGAAAGCGACUUACUGGGGCAUAACUGACGCUGAGGCACGAAAGCGUGGGGAGCAAACA